This 272-nucleotide ribosomal RNA is filed under the name uncultured bacterium. Its description in RNAcentral is "partial small subunit ribosomal RNA". It matches the Rfam family "Bacterial small subunit ribosomal RNA", at positions 26 to 285 of the family's 1533-position model. The record is from RNAcentral.
AGAAUCAACGCUGGCGGCGUGCCUAACACAUGCAAGUCGAACGCGAAGACCCCGCAAGGGGUUGUUAGCGUGGCAAACGGGUGAGUAACGCGUGGGCGACCUACCUCAGAGUGGGGGAUAACCUUCCGAAAGGGAGGCUAAUACCGCAUGACAUGCCUUGUUUAGAUACAGGGACAUCAAAGCCGGGGAUCGUAAGACCUGGCGCUUGGAGAGGGGCCCGCGUCCGAUUAGCUAGUUGGUGGGGUAACGGCUCACCAAGGCUCCGAUCGGUA